GAGAAGCUUGCUUCUCUUGAGAGCGGCGGACGGGUGAGUAAUGCCUAGGAAUCUGCCUGGUAGUGGGGGAUAACGCUCGGAAACGGACGCUAAUACCGCAUACGUCCUACGGGAGAAAGCAGGGGACCUUCGGGCCUUGCGCUAUCAGAUGAGCCUAGGUCGGAUUAGCUAGUUGGUGAGGUAAUGGCUCACCAAGGCGACGAUCCGUAACUGGUCUGAGAGGAUGAUCAGUCACACUGGAACUGAGACACGGUCCAGACUCCUACGGGAGGCAGCAGUGGGGAAUAUUGGACAAUGGGCGAAAGCCUGAUCCAGCCAUGCCGCGUGUGUGAAGAAGGUCUUCGGAUUGUAAAGCACUUUAAGUUGGGAGGAAGGGCAUUAACCUAAUACGUUGGUGUCUUGACGUUACCGACAGAAUAAGCACCGGCUAACUCUGUGCCAGCAGCCGCGGUAAUACAGAGGGUGCAAGCGUUAAUCGGAAUUACUGGGCGUAAAGCGCGCGUAGGUGGUUUGUUAAGUUGGAUGUGAAAUCCCCGGGCUCAACCUGGGAACUGCAUUCAAAACUGA
Molecule: ribosomal RNA, 567 nt
Filed under: Pseudomonas sp.
Lineage: Bacteria; Pseudomonadati; Pseudomonadota; Gammaproteobacteria; Pseudomonadales; Pseudomonadaceae
Description: bacterial SSU rRNA
Rfam family: Bacterial small subunit ribosomal RNA
Source: RNAcentral